RNAcentral lists this ribosomal RNA (468 nucleotides) under uncultured bacterium. RNAcentral describes it as "partial 16S ribosomal RNA". It matches the Rfam family "Bacterial small subunit ribosomal RNA", at positions 28 to 507 of the family's 1533-position model. The record is from RNAcentral.
GACGAACGCUGGCGGCGUGCUUAACACAUGCAAGUCGAACGGAAAGGCCCUGCUUUUGUGGGGUGCUCGAGUGGCGAACGGGUGAGUAACACGUGAGUAACCUGCCCUUGACUUUGGGAUAACUUCAGGAAACUGGGGCUAAUACCGGAUAGGAGCUCCUGCUGCAUGGUGGGGGUUGGAAAGUUUCGGCGGUUGGGGAUGGACUCGCGGCUUAUCCGCUUGUUGGUGGGGUAGUGGCUUACCAAGGUUUUGACGGGUCGCCGGCCUGAGGGGGUGACCGGCCACAUUGGAACUGGGAUACGGCCCAGACUCCUACGGGAGGCAGCAUUGGGGAAUAUGGCACAAUGGGCGGAAGCCUGAUGCAGCAACGCCGCGUGCGGGAUGACGGCCUUCGGGUGGUAAACCGCUUUCGCCUGUGACGAAGCGUGAGUGACGGUAAUGGGUAAAGAAGCACCGGCUAACUACGUG